UGGAAGUCCAAGCAAAAGGGGCUUGUCUUCCCUUUACACCUUUUCAUAACAAGGAAUUGAGAUGAACAUAAAAUACAUUCUAAAUUGACUCUCAUAUCUGUAGAAGUAUUAUCUUCCACAAUCAACUUUUGAGAAUUUAAUGUUCUAAACAGGCUUGUUAGAUUUACAAAUACAUCUUCAAAUAUAGAUGAUAAAUCCCAGAAGCAAUGCUAGCAGUAUUCAUAUUCCUGAAGGCAAAAAUAGGGGAGAGUGAGAGAAGCGAGAAAGAAAAUUGAGAGACAUUGGAGUGAUGCCUGUGAAAAUUUAGUUGGCCUGAAGCUGGGGCAUGUAUUGGAAAAUAUGUGGUUUAAGCAAUCAGUAUUCUACUUCAGGGGAUGAAAUGAAACUUUUGCUCUGAAACUAAUGUGUGAAAAUGUUUCCUUAUGUCAAAUCCCACUUAGCAUGUAAAUUAGGGGAAAAAGAGAGAGAGAGAGAGAGAGAUCUGCUUACAAUGAUUUCAUUUGACUCCUGCGAUCACUAUUUAUUGCUACCUUUGAUGGAGAACUAUUGUUAUAUCUUUGCUGUCCCCCUCACUGAAGACCGUGGCUACACCUUGAUGCCUCCAUUUUUCUGUACCUGAAGACAAGAGGCAGAAUACAACUUUACACUCAUACACUUUACCUCUUCCCUCCCCUAAACAAGGACUUUCCAUACCUGGAAAGUCCGAGGCCAGAACUGGCAUCGACAGAGCUCAGAGGUAACUGGAUGCAGGCAGGUUUUUCAGCGCAGCACCACCACUGCUUGCCUCACACAAACUGGGCAGCGGUUCUGGGUGGGCUGUGAUGUCCCAGCAAGACAUUUCUCCUCUCAUUGCCUGGCGUAACCCAAAGGCUGCUCUUGGUUGUGCUACUGGCCCAUUUUAUCCCUCUAGAGGAAAGCAGUAUAGGAGGAAGGGGCCUAUUUGCCACCUCUAUCUGCCUAAACUUUCCACUGAUUGCAAAAACAAUGAACUCCAAAGUUUUAUUUUAUUUCUUUUUCAGAGAUUUUUUAUUUCCAGAGAGGUUGAAUUUUCAACAGAAACAAUUCAGUUUGACCACCAUCGUUUUCAGGCACUGUUGUGAGAUAUCAAAGGUUUCCUCUCAGUGGGCAGUUUCCAAUGGCUGUGCUCACACUGGAGGAGAUCGGUACUUGUGACCAAGCAGUCUCAGAAGAGAUGAGGCAAUAGAAAUGAAGUCUAACAUGGGAAAUCUGUGUCUAAUUGAUUUUCAGGAAAGCAAAGCUUGUUGCAGAGGUGCAAUAUACUCAAGGCAAGGCUGGAUCAGGCCCUGGCAACCUGAUCUAGCUGUGUGUGUCCCUCUUCAUUGCAGGUAAAUUGGACUUUGAAGGUCCCUUCCAACUCUAAGGAUUCUAUGCUUCUAAUUAUGUUGUAUUUUUUUUCCCUCUGAUGGAUUUUCCUCACAACCUCCCCUAAAUAAAGCCAUGUGGUGUGUUUUGGAGAUCAAUAUGUGCCAGUUUGCAACACGUCAAUCAAAUGGACUUUUGAUCAAGCACUCCAAGCCAGAGAAAGAGGAGAGAGUUACUGCUCUCACAGUAUGAGCCUCCAGAUACAGUCUGACAACUGUGAAGUGCCACUUGGAAACCUAGAGCCAUUUGUCAUUUAAACAUCUCCCAAGCGUUAUAGCCACAGCCUCAGAAGACAGAAGUAUUGGGAGCUUCUGGAAUCAGUGUAGUUUGGUAAUCCUUACAAUAGUGCUAACGAUCUUCAAAACCUCUGAAAGCUUGUACUUGCCGACCCCUUCCACGUGCCUGUGAUUCUUCUAGUGAUGCGUAUUCCAGUCGGAC
Molecule: long non-coding RNA, 1821 nt
Filed under: Gallus gallus (chicken)
Lineage: Eukaryota; Metazoa; Chordata; Aves; Galliformes; Phasianidae
Source: RNAcentral